This 305-nucleotide ribosomal RNA is filed under the name uncultured bacterium. Its description in RNAcentral is "bacterial SSU rRNA". It matches the Rfam family "Bacterial small subunit ribosomal RNA", at positions 333 to 635 of the family's 1533-position model. The record is from RNAcentral.
UGUCACCUACGGGGCGCAGCAGUGAGGAAUAUUGGUCAAUGGGCGGGAGCCCGAACCAGCCAAGCCGCGUGAAGGAAGAAGGCGCCAGGCGUCGUAAACUUCUUUUGUCGGGGAACAAAGGGCGCCACGCGUGGCGUUGUGAGUGUACCCGAAGAAAAAGCAUCGGCUAACUCCGUGCCAGCAGCCGCGGUAAUACGGAGGAUGCGAGCGUUAUCCGGAUUUAUUGGGUGUAAAGGGCGUGUAGGCGGGAAAGCAAGUCAGAUGUGAAAACCAUGGGGUCAACCUGUGGGCUGCAUUUGAAACUG